GCUCAUGUUCUCCAUGAAUGCUCGUUAGAUCUCAGUUUGCUUGAAGAAUUUUCGAGCAGCUUUGGGGAUCGAAUUAUUGAUCUGUAGAGGGGGAAAAUCAUUCGUUUUCCUGCUGUCUGCGGAGCUACUACUUCAUCUAUAUGGAAAUGGUAGCAUAGUGUGAUUGAACUGAUGUGUUGCUUAAUUGGUUCGCAGGAAUGGGUUCCAGAAGCUGGACAAGAUCAAGGAUGCCAACCGCCGCACUACAUAGCUUGAAGAGCUUACUGAUAAGAUGCGAGAUUGCAAAAGAUCAAAGAAUUAAACUCAUAAGAAACAGUGAGUUUUGACCUAUCCCACUGCAUCAUAAUUAUCUUUCUAAUAAACAGUAAGCGGCAAUAAGAAGAAGAACGACGAGAACUCAGCGCUCAGGGCCAUGUCAAAAAUGGCACAAAGAGUGACCAUGUACAUGAAUCCCUUCAAGACCAUGAUCUUUUUAGGUCAUUAAUCACUUACUGAUUUGGGUAAUUGGUUCUUUAAUUUUGGUCUUCUCAUGUGCAACACUAUUAUGGUAAGUGCAGGAAACACCUUGCUAUUGACAUGUUUGAAACGGUUUGUUCUAUAACUAGCUUGGAGUCAAUCAACAAGGCUCCAAUUCUUAGUUAUUUGGACUCAUUAAUCCUUCAGUUGCUAUAUUUCCUUAUUUUGAUAACUAUUAGCACAACAAUCUCAAAAUAAUCCUUCUAUAAUUGCCUGUGUGUUUGGAGCACUUAUGUUUUCUGUUUUCUGGUGACUUUACAGCUAAAGAUUUUGGUGUGUAUUUUUUUAUUACGCACAAAAUUCAUUAUGGUUGUUAUUUGUUAGCCAUUUGAAAAUCCAAAAUCAAACAUUGAAUAAAUCUUGACAGUGUAUGGUUAGGUGCAUGUGUUUCGAAUGUGUUCCAGCUAAUGGAACAGUGGUGUGUCAAAUACAUAGUUAAGGAUGCAGUACAUGACCUUGAUUUAAAAAAGAACUAGAUCUUAAGAUGCUGGAUGUUCUGAAUAGAUCUCAUAUUUGAUAUUUAUACUAAGAAAUAGUUCAGAAAAGAGA
Molecule: long non-coding RNA, 1065 nt
Organism: Panicum virgatum (switchgrass)
Lineage: Eukaryota; Viridiplantae; Streptophyta; Magnoliopsida; Poales; Poaceae
Exons: 2
Source: RefSeq, a predicted model, not a curated record